AACAAUUUGAGAAACAGGAAGAGCAAAUAGAGGACAAAACGCAAGAAACGUCAGUUCAUGUUCAUCUGUAUUUUCAGGUCAGCUGCCUGCCACCCUACAAAGCCUUCCCAUUUUCAUCUUCUCCGUUUUCAUGCUUUAUGAGAAUGCGAAGCACCGGGAAAAGGACACGCUCUUCAGCAGAAUGACAAGGUUAGUACUAAAUAUUUUGAUUCUGCUACCUAUAGUUUUCUUAAAGAAAAUAGGCUGGAGUUGUUUUCAUCAUUAUCUAAAAAAGCAUCCUAAGUGAAGCGAGAUAAGGCAGAACCGUGUCUCAUGCUGACAGUAUCAUUGUUGUCUAUCUACUAAAUAUUCUUUUUUUCUACCAAUCUAGCCAAGCGGGAUGGAAUUUGCCGUAAACAUAUCUUGUGAAGCACCACGAGGUCCACGACAUGAAUUUGAACUGAGCCAAACAUCUAAUUCCUGGACUUAGUCACGGGCUUACGACGCAUCAGAGAUGG
RNAcentral lists this long non-coding RNA (497 nucleotides) under Zea mays. RNAcentral's name for it is "long non-coding RNA (ZMAY_LNC000078)". Lineage: Eukaryota; Viridiplantae; Streptophyta; Magnoliopsida; Poales; Poaceae. The record is from RNAcentral.